GACGUAGGGCGCGAGCGUUGUCCGGAUUUAUUGGGCGUAAAGAGCGUGUAGGCGGCUAGGUAGGUCCGUUGUGAAAACUCGAGGCUCAACCUCGAGACGCCGAUGGAAACCAUCUGGCUAGAGUCCGGAAGAGGAGAGUGGAAUUCCUGGUGUAGCGGUGAAAUGCGCAGAUAUCAGGAAGAACACCCGUGGCUAAGGCGGCUCUCUAGUACGGUACUGACGCUGAGACGCGAAAGCGUGGGGAGCGAACAGG
Molecule: ribosomal RNA, 253 nt
Filed under: uncultured bacterium
Lineage: Bacteria
Description: partial 16S ribosomal RNA
Rfam family: Bacterial small subunit ribosomal RNA
Source: RNAcentral